CAGUCGCCGCGGGAAUACGUAGGGUGCAAGCGUUAAUCGGAAUUACUGGGCGUAAAGCGUGCGCAGGCGGUUAUAUAAGACAGAUGUGAAAUCCCCGGGCUCAACCUGGGAACUGCAUUUGUGACUGUAUAGCUAGAGUACGGCAGAGGGGGAUGGAAUUCCGCGUGUAGCAGUGAAAUGCGUAGAUAUGCGGAGGAACACCGAUGGCGAAGGCAAUCCCCUGGGCCUGUACUGACGCUCAUGCACGAAAGCGUGGGGAGCAAACAGGAUUAGAUACCCCGGUAGUCCCUGUCUCUUAACA
This 301-nucleotide ribosomal RNA is filed under the name uncultured bacterium. Its description in RNAcentral is "partial 16S ribosomal RNA". It matches the Rfam family "Bacterial small subunit ribosomal RNA", at positions 509 to 808 of the family's 1533-position model. The record is from RNAcentral.